UGCCAGCAGCCGCGGUAAUACGGAGGGUGCAAGCGUUGUUCGGAAUCACUGGGCGUAAAGAGCACGCAGGCGGACAGUUAAGUCGGAAGUGAAAUCUAUAGGCUCAACCUAUAGCGGGCUUCCGAAACUGGUUGUCUGGAAUCUCGGAGAGGUAAGUGGAAUUCCAGGUGUAGCGGUGAAAUGCGUAGAUAUCUGGAGGAACAUCAGUGGCGAAGGCGGCUCCCUGGCCAAAGACUGACGCUCAUGUGCGAAAGUGUGGGUAGCGAACAGGAUUAGAUA
This 279-nucleotide ribosomal RNA is filed under the name uncultured bacterium. Its description in RNAcentral is "partial 16S ribosomal RNA". It matches the Rfam family "Bacterial small subunit ribosomal RNA", at positions 506 to 784 of the family's 1533-position model. The record is from RNAcentral.